GUUUUUGAUUAAUGAAGCAUGUAAUUCCCGGAAAACUCAUUAGAAAUUUCCCAUUUUAAAUGGGAAAACAAAUUACUUUAAUUAUUGGUACUGAUUGCAUGUGUCAAAUUAAAAAAGGUUUAUUUUUACAAAUAAAAAACGGCUUUAUUUUACGCAACAUAUAAAACCACACACAUAAUCAUCUGAAGUAAAUGUAAUGUGAUUUAUUUUUAUCGUUCGUUUAAUAAUCAUCGAUUAUAUUGAAUGUGGUGGAAAUUUAUAUGCAAAUUGGUAUAGGUAGUAACUAACGGUUGAAUAAUAAUGCGGAAGGAAUUUUUUUACACAAUUUAUAAAUUUUAAAAAUGCUUAUUUUUUCCAUGAAAAGUACAAUUAACUUUCACUUAAUUGUAGGAACGUAUUGCUUUUUUUAGCACAUUUUCUGUUAGCGCUUUUAAAAGUUUUUGCUGCAAUAUGGAAAUAUUUUAUUAUUUUUGCACAAAAGACCAAUUAACUUUGAAGAUAAAUUGAAGAUUUACUUCUAAUAUACUGCAAAGGACAAAGAAGUCAUACACUGUAGAAUAAAUUUACCAGCCCUUACAUACCAAGAGGUAAUUGUUUAUUAUAAUCGGUUUUGAAAAGGGAUGUUGGCAUUAUUACGGUCAAUACGGAGGGAUAACAAACAUUCCCUUUGCACAUGGUUAUCCGACUCGUUGCUCAGCUGAAUCGAACGGCAAGGUUGAUCAGGGUGGUCUGGGAUUGUACCGUUGUCCCGGACGAAAGCAACGGGCAACGGAGCUGGUGUAGAGUAGGUAACCACCACGACGCUGGACCCGUUGCCGAUUGUGACGAAUUAGCGCAGACUCUCCAAGGAAAUCAGCGACGUCUUCCUAGGCUACGGCACGCAAGCCCUGAAUUUGGCCUGCCUCCCUUUUACGGAUAACACCCUGUCGCUAUCAAGUACCACGACGGUCAAUGUCUUUAGUCCCGGUCGUUAGCUGAGCAUGAACAUUACUACUUCUUGCACAGGGAUUACGUUUUAUCAUGAGGCUGUGAAAUCAAUAGAAAAAAGGUAUACUUAUCCAUUUGACUUAAUAACGUUAUUUUAUUAAAAGCGUUAAUUCCUUAGCAAAAUGGUUUAUAUAUUAAUCAAUUAAUUGGAAUCAAGUGGUGAUAUGUUAGGCCAUCAACAGCGACACAGUAUCAGUUACUGCAAUGAGACUCUACCAAGUCGAUGGGGUAGUUUGGCAAACGAGCACGCUUUUAUAGAUCUGCUGGAUGGCGAUCACGCACAAGUACAGCCCUUAACCCUUACCCUUGCACCUAUCAAUUCUAAUAUUUAUGCUAGAAGACAUUCUUCGCACAAUUGUCAAAGCACAGUAGAUAAUGCCACACCGAUACCCCCUCCAGUACCCUUACGUAAACCCCCCGUUCAGAAUUCUAAUGUUACAUUGCCGACAUCGUUUCAAGAGGUGACAAAUAUCGACAGGCGACCACCGCCUCUUCCUCCAACUCCAAAAAAUAGAGCAUUGCCAGAAUCACUUCGACACCACGCAAAACCUCAACCUCCACCCAGAGGUGUUCGUUUUGUUUAUUCCGACAAACAAUAUUCUCCAAAAUCUGGCAAACAAACUAAUACCUGUCCAAAUGUAUUUGAUUUUACUGCAGCUAAUUCAACAUCUGUUCAAAAACUUACAAAUAACAUAAAUUCUACCACUAAUGCUGGCACAAUUUAUAGUAACGGAAAUGCAUGCGAGAAAUAUAAUCGCAUUACGUUCCAAAAAAACGUUCAACACAAUCAGUCUUCUAAUACGAAAUCUUUAACACGCCAAGACAUGAGUAUCUCAAGCGACAGUUGUAGCCAGACGUCAUCGCCUUCUUAUACAAUUAAAACCAUGGGAACGCCUUUAAUUCCUUUGAGAAACUCGGGAAAGCAUCAGAACGGUGGGAUUUUUAAUAAAUUACAAAAAGAUGGGAAAGAAGCGAAAGAACGAAAUAGUCCCUUAACAAAAAGUGCUUCAACUCCUGCCAGCUUACAAGCUAUUGUUAAAUUGCAACAUGGAUCUAACGCUUCUCUACAUCACAAGAUUAUUAAAGACAUGAGAAGACCGUCAAGUAUAUCUGUUAAAAGAGUGAAACUAAAAUUCCAAUUUGCCCAAAUAUUAAUAAACGCAGUUGCUCUUUUGGCUAUAGGCGGAGGAAUGGCAGCUUACCUGAAAGGUAGCUCUCAACCACCUGCAGUUCAAAUAAUAAAUAAGCCGAUAAAUUACACCACCAAACAAUUUAUAGUUUCUCCUUCAACAGUUCCCUCUAACCCAGCUCCUGGAAUAUGUCUCCCAGUGAUAGUAGAUUUUUGCCAUCACCACAAUGUCCCCUACAAUUAUACUGUAUUUCCUAAUUACCUAGGACACUUUAGUCAAAGGGACGCAGACCUUGAACUUGAAGCGUACGAUGCGGUUGUAGAUGUUAGAUGUUACGAGCUAGCAGCUUUAUUUCUCUGUUCUGUUUUUGUUCCUAAAUGUGGAGAAUCAGGUGUUAUGAUUCGUCCGUGUCGCAACCUGUGUGAUGAAACCAAAAGACGAUGUGGCUUUUUCUUAGACGUUUUUGGAUUAGCUUUACCAAAUUAUUUGGAAUGUGGUCUUUUUCCUGACUCUUCAGAUCCAGAAAAAUGUGUAGGUCAUAAAGAAGUAAUGGAAGCCAAAUUACGAGCACAAAAACCGAUAUGCCCAUCAGGGUUCCAGUGUGAUGUCAGAAGAUGUAUUCCAAAAGAAUGGAGAUGCGACGGGCACAUAGAUUGCAAGGACCAAUCUGACGAAUUAAAUUGCCAUAAAUGUAGCCCUGGAAUGAUUCACUGUGGUAACGACCGAUGUAUGGCGCAAGAACAAAUGUGCGAUGGAAAAGUAGAUUGUCCCAUGGGACAAGAUGAAAGGAAUUGUCUACGUCUGAGUGAAAGAAAUGGAGACGAAGGUAAAGGACAAUUAGAGAUUUUUCGCCCAGAAUUUCAAAAAUGGGUCCCUGCUUGUAUUACCCACUGGAAUGAAACAAAGUCAGCUUUAAAUAUCUGUUCUUUAUUAGGAUACUCGUCUGUUAACUCAAGUCGCCUUUUAAAUGGGAGUAAUCUAAAUUCUGAACUCGUUCAAGAGAACACUGCAUUGUGGUGGAUGCAUCAGAAUAGGCGUUCCAAGAACUUGCUACGAGAAUUUAGUUCUUGCAAAGGCAGUUAUACAACAGUUGAUCUAACUUGCACUAAUUUUCGUUGUGGUAAAACUAGGAAAUCGUAUGCUGAAAAGUCAUUAAGAAUAAUAGGCGGAGUUAAAUCACGCCCUGGAGAUUGGCCGUUCUUAGCUGCACUUUUGGGCGGACCUGAAGAAAUUUUUUAUUGCGCAGGAGUUCUUAUAGCUGAUCAGUGGGUUCUAACAGCUUCACAUUGUGUCGGCAAUCAUUCUGAUGUAAACGGUUGGACAAUUCAAUUGGGUAUCACUAGGAGGCAUGCACAUUCAUAUUAUGGUCAAAAAAUGAAAGUUCAACGUGUUGUUCCACAUCCAUUGUAUAAUGUUGGUACUGCUCACGAUAACGAUGUUGCUUUAUUUCAGUUAGCAUCAAGAGUUACAUUUCACGAGCAUCUAUUGCCGGUGUGUCUUCCAUCUUCUACUAAAGAACUUCGACCUGGAACUGUGUGUACAGUCAUUGGCUGGGGAAAAAAGGAAGACAAAGGAAUGUCAGAAUACGAGCCGGAGAUCAAUGAAGUAGAAGUUCCAGUUUUGAACCGUGAACUUUGCAACGCAUGGCUUGAGAAUCAAGACCUUAACGUCACCAAUGGAAUGAUCUGCGCUGGUUAUAAGGAAGGAGGAAAAGACGCUUGUCAGAUUGGCCAAUGAAUGGCAGCAGUUAUUUAUUGUGCUAUUCAAACAAUAAAUCAUCUAUGUACGUGCCUUUUAUACUGUACAUCAUUUGCUGUUCUGGUUUUUGACUUGGAAAUACUUUGGCAAUUAUAAUGAAGUACUUGAAACUAUUCACUUAUGGAGUUUUCUUCCUGUGUUUUGGGUUAUUGACUGCGGAAGUGAAGACUGCUUUGUUCUUAUACGAGAAUUGUUCUUUCCAAAUCAUCAAUACUACAUUGAAAAGUUGAUCGAUCAAUCCAGCUGAAAUAAAUUGAUCUUCCUUUGGUGUAACUUCUUCAUCUUGCAACAUUAUGCAGUUGGUUUUCCACCAAUGAGCGAAAAAACUACAAAGUUUUCUUGGAUUCCACCAAGGUAAUAAUUUGUCUGCAAUAGUAUCGUGCCCGGAUUUGGAUUGUCCGUCAUACUUGUAGACAUUAGAACGCUACUUUCUGGAGUUAAUUUAGACAGGAUACAGUGGGUUAUCUGGAAUAGGAGCAAUAGGCGACUGCCGAGCUUGCCUUGGCGAAAUCUGUCCGACCUUCUCUUCGAAAUCCAUUAGACUUUGUCGUUCUGCUAAUUUCUCCAUUCGCUUCAAGAUACUCUAGGAAGACUGAAGACGUAUUUUAUUACUUUUUAUUGUAUUUUCUUUUAAAUUUCAUUUGUUUUCUUGUUCUUCCCUUACAGGUACUUUGUACCUUAAUUUAUAAACUGUACAUUAAUAUAACAGUACUUAGACUGUUAGUUAAAACCCUUCUACAUUUAUAUUUUGGCAUCAUUGUUAAAACCAAAUUAAAUAUUUAUUAACGCUUUCAUAGUUAUUAUUCAUUUUGGUGGAUAAGGUGGCCAUAGGGGGAGAUAAUGACCACAUUUAUAUCCCAAAUAUAAUAAAUAUUGAUGAGUGUAAAUAAUAUGCUGAAUUUUUUGUAUUUUCUUGUCUUUCUCUUUCAACUGUUUUGUAUUUCACUUUAUUAUUUCUACGAUUAUUAUUAACAAACAGUAGAGUAUUUCUUCACUUUAGUAUAUUGUCCUACAUGUAAUUUUGAAUUAACUCAAUUGUAAUUUAGUGUGAUAGGUACAACCCUUCUAAAUUGCUUUUUACUGUAUUUUCUUUGAAAUUCAAAUUGUCUUCUUUUUCUUACAGGUAUUUUGUUUUUCACUUUGUAAACUGUUGAAUUAACUCAAUUGUAAUUAGGUGUAAUAGAUAAAACCUUUCUAAAUUGC
This 5078-nucleotide unclassified non-coding RNA is filed under the name Agrilus planipennis (emerald ash borer). Its description in RNAcentral is "atrial natriuretic peptide-converting enzyme-like, transcript variant X1". Lineage: Eukaryota; Metazoa; Arthropoda; Insecta; Coleoptera; Buprestidae. The record is from RNAcentral.